This 242-nucleotide unclassified non-coding RNA is filed under the name uncultured Gibberella. RNAcentral's name for it is "sequence contains ITS1". The stretch from base 1 to 105 matches the Rfam family "5.8S ribosomal RNA", at positions 50 to 154 of the family's 154-position model. The record is from RNAcentral. Lineage: Eukaryota; Fungi; Ascomycota; Sordariomycetes; Hypocreales; Nectriaceae.
AAAAUGCGAUAAGUAAUGUGAAUUGCAGAAUUCAGUGAAUCAUCGAAUCUUUGAACGCACAUUGCGCCCGCCAGUAUUCUGGCGGGCAUGCCUGUUCGAGCGUCAUUUCAACCCUCAAGCCCAGCUUGGUGUUGGGACUCGCGAGUCAAAUCGCGUUCCCCAAAUUGAUUGGCGGUCACGUCGAGCUUCCAUAGCGUAGUAGUAAAACCCUCGUUACUGGUAGGGAUACCCGCUGAACUUAA